GGGAUAACACCUGGAAACAGAUGCUAAUACCGGAUAACAACACUAGACGCAUGUCUAGAGUUUGAAAGAUGGUUCUGCUAUCACUCUUGGAUGGACCUGCGGUGCAUUAGCUAGUUGGUAAGGUAACGGCUUACCAAGGCAAUGAUGCAUAGCCGAGUUGAGAGACUGAUCGGCCACAUUGGGACUGAGACACGGCCCAAACUCCUACGGGAGGCAGCAGUAGGGAAUCUUCCACAAUGGACGAAAGUCUGAUGGAGCAACGCCGCGUGAGUGAAGAAGGGUUUCGGCUCGUAAAGCUCUGUUGGUAGUGAAGAAAGAUAGAGGUAGUAACUGGCCUUUAUUUGACGGUAAUUACUUAGAAAGUCACGGCUAACUACGUGCCAGCAGCCGCGGUAAUACGUAGGUGGCAAGCGUUGUCCGGAUUUAUUGGGCGUAAAGCGAGUGCAGGCGGUUCAAUAAGUCUGAUGUGAAAGCCUUCGGCUCAACCGGAGAAUUGCAUCAGAAACUGUUGAACUUGAGUGCAGAAGAGGAGAGUGGAACUCCAUGUGUAGCGGUGGAAUGCGUAGAUACAUGGAAGAACACCAGUGGCGAAGGCGGCUCUCUGGUCUGCAACUGACGCUGAGGCUCGAAAGCAUGGGUAGCGAACAGGAUUAGAUACCCUGGUAGUCCAUGCCGUAAAC
This 680-nucleotide ribosomal RNA is filed under the name uncultured bacterium. Its description in RNAcentral is "bacterial SSU rRNA". It matches the Rfam family "Bacterial small subunit ribosomal RNA", at positions 140 to 807 of the family's 1533-position model. The record is from RNAcentral.